Molecule: ribosomal RNA, 495 nt
Filed under: uncultured bacterium
Lineage: Bacteria
Description: partial 16S ribosomal RNA
Rfam family: Bacterial small subunit ribosomal RNA
Source: RNAcentral
GACGAACGCUGGCGGCGUGCCUAAUACAUGCAAGUAGAACGCUGAAGGAGGAGCUUGCUUCUCUGGAUGAGUUGCGAACGGGUGAGUAACGCGUAGGUAACCUGCCUGGUAGCGGGGGAUAACUAUUGGAAACGAUAGCUAAUACCGCAUAAGAGUAGAUGUCGCAUGACAUUUGCUUAAAAGGUGCAAUUGCAUCACUACCAGAUGGACCUGCGUUGUAUUAGCUAGUUGGUGAGGUAACGGCUCACCAAGGCAACGAUACAUAGCCGACCUGAGAGGGUGAUCGGCCACACUGGGACUGAGACACGGCCCAGACUCCUAUGGGAGGCAGCAGUAGGGAAUCUUCGGCAAUAGACGGAAGUCUGACCGAGCAACGCCGCGUGAGUGAAGAAGGUUUUCGGAUCGUAAAGCUCUGUUGUAAGAGAAGAACGAGUGUGAGAGUGGAAAGUUCACACUGUGACGGUAUCUUACCAGAAAGGGACGGCUAACUACGUG